Ictalurus punctatus (channel catfish) is the source of this 381-nucleotide long non-coding RNA. The record is from Ensembl. Lineage: Eukaryota; Metazoa; Chordata; Actinopteri; Siluriformes; Ictaluridae.
AUUUCCUGCAUUGGAAAGUUCCAGAAAGGGUUCCUGCGAUGAAAACAUGCUUACUACGUUCCUGAGAAACCUCUUGUAGUGGAAACAUGCUGAAGGUUCCUGAGAAAUAUCCUGCGAUGGAAACCCACCUAAACUUCCAGAGUUCCUGAAAGAUUCCUGUGAUUCACCCUCGCAUGAGAUGUAUUCCCGCUUCGUGUUCCUGGCAUAGACUCCGGAUCCACCGCCACCCUGAGCAGGAUAUGGAGUACUGCAACGUUUCAGACUCGCCUCCUGUGUCCAAAUAUACACAUCGGGAAGCUUCUGCAUCAACUACAAAACGAAAAUUCAGAAUUUAUUAUAAACGAUAAGUGAAAAGACGUCAGGAACUAAAAUCAGUCCCGG